This 301-nucleotide ribosomal RNA is filed under the name uncultured bacterium. Its description in RNAcentral is "partial 16S ribosomal RNA". It matches the Rfam family "Bacterial small subunit ribosomal RNA", at positions 509 to 807 of the family's 1533-position model. The record is from RNAcentral.
CAGCCGCCACGGUAAUGCGGAGGGGGCUAGCGUUGUUCGGAAUUACUGGGCGUAAAGCGCACGUAGGCGGCUUUUUAAGUCAGAGGUGAAAGCCCGGAGCUCAACUCCGGAACUGCCUUUGAGACUGGAAGGCUUGAACGUCGGAGAGGUGAGUGGAAUUCCGAGUGUAGAGGUGAAAUUCGUAGAUAUUCGGAAGAACACCAGUGGCGAAGGCGGCUCACUGGACGACUGUUGACGCUGAGGUGCGAAAGCGUGGGGAGCAAACAGGAUUAGAUACCCCUGUAGUCCCUGUCUCUUAUAC